This 200-nucleotide unclassified non-coding RNA is filed under the name Sordariomycetes sp. RNAcentral's name for it is "partial internal transcribed spacer 2". The record is from RNAcentral. Lineage: Eukaryota; Fungi; Ascomycota; Sordariomycetes.
UUAAGUUCAGCGGGUAUUCCUACCUGAUCCGAGGUCAACCUUUGGUACGUUUGGUGGGUUUAGCGGCCGGGUGGCCCGCCGUGGAGAUCCCGCCGAGCGAAAUACAGCUACUGCGCUCAGGGUCCAAGCGGUCCCGCCGAUGCAAUUGGGGGCCCCGGUCGUGGUUACCACCGGGUGCCCCAACACCAAGCCCUUGGGGG